This 433-nucleotide ribosomal RNA is filed under the name uncultured bacterium. RNAcentral's name for it is "partial 16S ribosomal RNA". It matches the Rfam family "Bacterial small subunit ribosomal RNA", at positions 29 to 507 of the family's 1533-position model. The record is from RNAcentral.
AACGAACGCUGGCGGCAUGCCUAACACAUGCAAGUCGAACGAGACCUUCGGGUCUAGUGGCGCACGGGUGCGUAACGCGUGGGAACCUGCCCUUAGGUUCGGAAUAACUCCCCGAAAGGGGUGCUAAUACCGGAUAAUGUCUUCGGACCAAAGAUUUAUCGCCUUUGGAUGGGCCCGCGUUGGAUUAGCUAGUUGGUAGGGUAAAAGCCUACCAAGGCGACGAUCCAUAGCUGGUCUGAGAGGAUGAUCAGCCACACUGGGACUGAGACACGGCCCAGACUGGUACGGGAAGCAGCAGUGGGGAAUAUUGGAGAAGGGGCGAGAGCCGGAUCCAGCAAUGGCGGGUGAGGGAGGAAGGGCGUAGGGUUGUAAAGGGCGGUUACCGGGGAGGAUAAUGACAGGAGCGGGAGAAUAAGCGCCGGCUAACUCCGUG